RNAcentral lists this ribosomal RNA (899 nucleotides) under uncultured archaeon. RNAcentral's name for it is "bacterial SSU rRNA". It matches the Rfam family "Archaeal small subunit ribosomal RNA", at positions 5 to 879 of the family's 1478-position model. The record is from RNAcentral.
CGGUUGGUCCUGCCGGACCCCACCGCUAUCGGGAUGGGACUAAGACAUGCUAGUCGUGCGUCUCCAAGCCAUGGUGGAGACGCGGCGCACAGCUCAGUAACACGUGGCUAACCUGCCCUUGGGACAGGGACAACCCCGGGAAACUGGGGCUAAUCCCUGAUAGGUGAGGGUUCCUGGAAUGGACCCUCGCCGAAAGGGCGCCUAGACCAUGCUUCUAGGCGCCGCCCAAGGAUGGAGCCGCGGCCGAUCAGGUUGUUGGUGAGGCAACGGCUCACCAAACCUUUAACCGGUACGGGCCGUGAGAGCGGGAGCCCGGAGAUGGGUACUGAGACAAGGACCCAGGCCCUACGGGGCGCAGCAGUCGCGAAAACUCCGCAAUACGCGAAAGCGUGACGGGGCCAUCCCGAGUGCCGUCCGCUGAGGAUGGCUUUUCCCCAGUGUAUAAAGCUGGGGGAAUAAGGAGAGGGCAAGCCUGGUGUCAGCCGCCGCGGUAAUACCAGCUCUCCGAGUGGUGGGGAUGCUUAUUGGGCCUAAAGCAUUCGUAGCCGGUUGGGCAAGUCCCCCGCUAAAUCCAACGAUUCAAUCGUUGGACUGCGGGGGAUACUGUCCAACUUGGGGGCGGGAGAGGCCGACGGUAUUCUCGGGGUAGGGGUGAAAUCCUAUAAUCCCGGGAGGACCACCAGUGGCGAAGGCUGUCGGCUAGAACGCGCCCGACGGUGAGGGAUGAAAGCUGGGGGAGCGAACCGGAUUAGAUACCCGGGUAGUCCCAGCUGUAAACGAUGCAGGCUAGGUGUUGGAGCGGCUACGUGCCGCUCCAGUACCGCAGGGAAGCCGUUAAGCCUGCCGCCUGGGAAGUACGGCCGCAAGGCUGAAACUUAAAGGAAUUGGCGGGGGAGCAC